CGUGGCACACGGCUCAGUAACACGUAGUCAACAUGCCCAGGGGAUGUGGAUAACCUCGGGAAACUGAGGAUAAACCGCGAUAGGCCAAGGUUUCUGGAAUGGACACUGGCUGAAACCUACAUGGCCCCUGGAUUGGACUGCGGCCGAUCAGGCUGUUGGUGAGGUAAUGGCCCACCAAACCUGUAACCGGUACGGGCUUUGAGAGAAGGAGCCCGGAGAUGGGCACUGAGACAAGGGCCCAGGCCCUAUGGGGCGCAGCAGGCGCGAAAAUUCUGCAAUAGGCGAAAGCUUGACAGAGUUACUCUGAGUGAUGCCCGCUAAGGGCAUCUUUUGGCACCUCUAAAAAUGGUGCAGAAUAAGGGGUGGGCAAGUCUGGUGUCAGCCGCCGCGGUAAUACCAGCACCCCGAGUGGUCGGGACGAUUAUUGGGCCUAAAGCAUCCGUAGCUUGUUCUGCAAGUCUUCCGUUAAAUCCACCUGCUCAACAGAUGGGCUGCGGGAGAUACUACAGGGCUAGGAGGCGGGAGAGGCAAGCGGUACUCAGUGGGUAGGGGUAAAAUCCUCUGAUCCACUGAAGACCACCAGUGGCGAAGGCGGCUUGCCAGAACGCGCUCGACGGUGAGGGAUGAAAGCUGGGGGAGCAAACCGGAUUAGAUACCCGGGUAGUCCCAGCUGUAAACGAUGCAGACUCGGUGAUGGGUU
RNAcentral lists this ribosomal RNA (700 nucleotides) under uncultured archaeon. RNAcentral's name for it is "bacterial SSU rRNA". It matches the Rfam family "Archaeal small subunit ribosomal RNA", at positions 77 to 780 of the family's 1478-position model. The record is from RNAcentral.